RNAcentral lists this ribosomal RNA (234 nucleotides) under uncultured Eubacteriales bacterium. RNAcentral's name for it is "uncultured Clostridiales bacterium partial 16S ribosomal RNA". It matches the Rfam family "Bacterial small subunit ribosomal RNA", at positions 99 to 334 of the family's 1533-position model. Lineage: Bacteria; Bacillati; Bacillota; Clostridia; Eubacteriales. The record is from RNAcentral.
CGGACGGGUGAGUAACGCGUGAGUAACCUGCCUUACACAAGGGGAUAGCCGUUGGAAACGACGAAUAAUACCCUAUGAAACUAUCACUUCGCAUGAAGCGAUAGUCAAAGUGUUAGCGGUGUAAGAUGGACUUGCGUCUGAUUAGCUAGUUGGUGGGAAAAAGCCCACCAAGGCAACGAUCAGUAGCCGGCUUGAGAGAGUGUACGGCCACAUUGGGACUGAGACACGGCCCAG